This is a long non-coding RNA of Esox lucius (northern pike), 5887 nucleotides long. The record is from Ensembl. NCBI's taxonomy places the organism in Eukaryota, Metazoa, Chordata, Actinopteri, Esociformes, Esocidae.
CAUGAGUCAAAGAAGAAACCGCAGCUUCAAAAACAAGCCUAAUAGACUUAUAGCGUGUUUAUUACGGUCAAUGAAUGAGACUGCAACAGUCUGAAGCUCAACAAUCAAAGAUUUAUUUUGCAAAAAUAAUCAAACGUCAACAACGCUCAUCCACUCAUCUCUGACCACCUGCGAGCAAAAUAUGAGAGAUGGAAAAAGAGGGGAUUCUCACUACGUAGUUUGCUAUGUCACCAUUCAUUAGCUUAUUACACUCAUAUGUAUCGAUAAUAUUCAAUAAUUAUACUAAAUUGAUGCUAGUUUACAUUGUAAUGUAUAUUACUGCCUUUCUUAUAUAAUCAAUAAUAGGCUAAUACCCAGAUUGUUGCUAGUUUACAGUACACUCUUUUAAACUGCUGCUGGUGUGCACUGUUAUGUUAAGUGUUUCUUUAUUUUAUUUUUGUCUGGCUCUAUUUUUGCUUAUACAUUCCCCACUCUCACUACGUAGUUGUCGGGUGCCAUGACACAAUAAUUUAAUUGCUCAGGAUGACGCUGUGUUGCUCGGUCCAUUUGACAAAUAAACGUUGAAACUUGUAACAUCGCUUGGAAUUCUAACUAGAUUUUUCAACAAUGGGAGGGAGGUGGGGGUGGGAAAGAUCCACGUGGGGAUACUACAGCACUACAUUGCUGUGAGGCUGUGAGCAGACAGUGUCAAUCAAUGCAUUUAGGGAAAGUAGCGACCAUAAAUGUACAGAAACGAUGUCGCUUGUCAGAUUUUCCUAACAAGCGACCAAACAUUUUAAAACAAUCCCCAAAAAACCGAGACCAGUAAUUAUUUCAAGCUCUUCUCCCUUAAUUCCACUGCAGUGUAUGUGGUUAUUGCCAUCGUGUGUCGAAUACAGACAAUAAAAGCGACAUACGAGAAAAAAAAGAAAAAAAACAGUAUUUACACACAGUAUGAACGUAUUAGGGAAUCGCAUACUCAAUGGAAUCCAUUACACCUGAUGCGCAGGGUUGAGCCGAUUAUGACGUAAGCGUCGUUCUCCAUUCAGUUAAAGCGGUUGCAUUGACGCAACAAUGUAAAAGACCUGUAAAAGCAAGUGCUUUCAGCAGAGCGGUUCAUAACCAAACUGAACAAUCAUCUGAGCAAAACUACCUACUUUAAGACUGUAAGACUGGAUCAGGUCUGGCUGUCUUUGCCUUGGUGUUGCUAGAAGGCAGUGUUCUAACCAUCGCUGAUACACAAGACCAGUUCAGCUUCUUCCUGGGGUUCCCCUGUGAUAACAUGCAGCCUGGACUGUCAACCAGGUGGGUCUGCGUCAUCCAACUAAAUAUCUCUGUCUAACACUUUGUCUGACAACCCUGUUUCCCUCCCACAGGGCCAUCCAGGACUGCCUGGUAAAUGGACGUAUCAUUAGUGCCUCAAGAGUUUGCUGUCUGUGUGCGUUGCCUCUGACCCCUGAAAUCUACAAUGCAACGUUUUACACUACCAACUUAAAGACUGGGUCUGGUCUGGAGGGUCAUCUCAUGUACGAGUUGACCUUCCAGACCCUGGUAAGUAGAAGACCACUCUGAUCCUGUGUUUUCUUCAGCACAUAGUCUAAUAGCUCAGUUAGGUAUUUUCAGUUAAUUAACGGGAAGGGAAAAUGUCUAAAAUUCGCUGCAAAGACCCAAUUGCCACAGUGGGACAUAUUUUGUUCUCUGAGUAAUAUGGACCCAACCUAAAAUCGGUUUACCUUCAGCCUGACAUUUGAAGUCGAUCCAUCCCGUUCCUCUUUCAGUAAUGUCUAGAAGUAAAAGGCUUCUUGCUGUUGGGUAUUAUACCAGAUCUUCAGAUGAAGAGUUCAUUGGCCAUUGGCAGACAUGCUGGCUGACUUUGCCUUGGUGUUGCUAGAAGGCAGUGUUCUAACCAUCGCUGAUACACAAGACCAGUUCAGCUUCUUCCUGGGGUUCCCCUGUGAUAACAUGCAGCCUGGACUGUCAACCAGGUGGGUCUGCGUCAUCCAACUAAAUAUCUCUGUCUAACACUUUGUCUGACAACCCUGUUUCCCUCCCACAGGGCCAUCCAGGACUGCCUGGUAAAUGGACGUAUCAUUAGUGCCUCAAGAGUUUGCUGUCUGUGUGCGUUGCCUCUGACCCCUGAAAUCUACAAUGCAACGUUUUACACUACCAACUUAAAGACUGGGUCUGGUCUGGAGGGUCAUCUCAUGUUCGAGUUGACCUUCCAGACCCUGGUAAGUAGAAGACCACUCUGAUCCUGUGUUUUCUUCAGCACAUAGUCUAAUAGCUCAGUUAGGUAUUUUCAGUUAAUUAACGGGAAGGGAAAAUGUCUAAAAGUCGCUGCAAAGACCCAAUUGCCACAGUGGGACAUAUUUUGUUCUCUGAGUAAUAUGGACCCAACCUAAAAUCGGUUUACCUUCAGCCUGACAUUUGAAGUCGAUCCAUCCCCGUUUCUCUUUCAGUAAUGUCCGGAAGUAAAAGGCUUCUUGCUUUUGGGUAUUAUACCAGAUCUUCUGUGUCAUCCCUUCUGCUAAGUCCUGCUAAUGUAUGUGUUCUCGGAGUGUUGUGUAGCUGCAGCAACAGGUGACCACCAUUCUUAACCAGCUUCCUCCUGCUCCCAGACCAGCGAGACCCACACCUGACCCACACAUACCAAGAGGCCAUGGACAAACUGAUAAAGGGUGUGCCUAAUGUCAGAGAGGAACCCUGCUCGGAACACUAAAUCAAACCCUGACAACCUAUAGGACACACUGGAGACAUGCAUGUGUGUGUGUGUAUAUAUAUAUAUAUAUAUAUAUGUGUGUGUAAACUUGUGAGCACCAUGACCAAUCAGCAAAAAAAAGAUACUGGGACAUUUUGGCGGUCCUAUUCUGCAAUUUGGAAACGUCAAUGAUAAUGUGUGUAGACCAAAAUAUCUGAAAAAUAUUUAUGUAAUUUAGAUGAAAUUGGGAAAAAAAUUAUGUUAUUUGGCAUAAGAUUAUUCUUAAAAAUUCUUAUCCGGCACAGCCAGAAGAGGACUGGCCCCUCAGAGUCUGGUUCCUCUCUAGGUUUCUUCCAAGGUUUUUGACCCUACUUGGGAGUUUUUCCUAGCCACUGUGCAUCAAUGUAUUGUUCUUGCUUGCUCUUUGGGGUUUCUAGGCUGGGAAUCUGUGCAUUUUGUGAGAACAGACAAUAUAAAAAUGGCUUUAUAAAAUAAAAUGUGUUCAUUGCUUACAUCAGAUGUGGUUUUGCCUUCAUUAAAAAUCUUUAUAGUGGAAAUGGGUGUGAUUUGUCUUGGUUGUGCUCUUUUGCAGAAUAAUAACAGACCCAAGUCAGGGGGAGAAGCUUUCAUUCACAAAAUAUAGUACACGUCAGCCUUCUUUCCAUCUCUUUCUUGGCCUUUCCAGCUGUCUUUGUGCUUCCCCAAAUAUCUCUGUCUUAAACAGCAUAUUUAUUCUUGACUGGACCUUCAACACAUCCCAUGCACUAUCUGGCUGUCUUCCAAUCAUAUACGUGUAUUCUAAAUCUUAUCCUUGUAGGGCCUGGUAUAGUGUCCCAUCUUGAGAUCUUGGCUCCACACAUUCCCACUUAGCAGGUUGUAUGGGAGCCUCUUCAACUGUUUGUGAUACGGUACUUCAUACAGCACAAGAUAACGAAGUACCAAUCCUCGGUUUUGUGUUUCUAAACAAGAGAAUAGAACCAAAAUAAAUGUAUAUAAUAAAUGUAUAAAGACAUGCUUUCUCACAAUUCCCCCCAUGACUUUAAAAUACCACAUUUAUAUGUCAGAACAACUAGUCUAUAUAGCAUAUCAGCACUACCCAUGUAAUAAUAAGAAAAUUAAAAACAGUUACAAAUAAUAAAGCAAGCUCAUUCAUCUCACCACAAGUGUGAGAGGUACAGUUGUGGUUACUAUGCAUGCAUAUUCAAAUGAAUGACAGACAGUGGUAUUCAAAUUUGGCAUGGCCUUUGCUCUGGAAUGUGCCGUGGGAGCAUGCGCCUUACCUUGAGCGACAGACCCCUGCCAAUAGCACACUUGACAAGUUGUACCAAGAUAAAAAAGAUCAACACUACAACCACCGCUGGCAUAAUCAUGUUCAGCAGAGAACCUCCCAAUUUACAAAAAAUAGAUGACAACCAUGUAGAAAAACCUACAUCAAUCAUCAGGAUUGUGAUUAUGGUAUUUGGCACCUUCCUCACGGAUCUUACCAGCCAAAUCAGUCAGUUCUUCAGAGUUAUCAGGUAUGUACGUACAACACUAAAUUCCAAUAACUGCACAGGUUCCCCCUGAGCAGACAAUAUGUAGUCAAGAGCAAGUCUAUUUUGCAUUGCAACAGUACGAAGGGCAACCAUUGCAGCUGACUGUAAUUUCAGACUUUCAGAGGUCAUGUUAGCGAAAGCCUCCAAAGAGCUAGCCACACUAAUAACUUCUCCUGCCAACAUGGCAGUGCCAUAGGGAGGGAAUGCAAUAGCAAAAACCUGUUCCGUUUCAGUGAUGGCUCGUGUAUGUCGUGUUUUAAAGGGAGAAUAUGUACUCAGUCUCACAUGUGGAAUUACAUAACUCAAAUAACAUGAUCCUCGCCAUAAAGGUGGGAGCCAUGGAUAGGCAUUGGGGCUGCAAAUGAAGUGAGUUCCGUUAGGAGCAAUCAUGCCCGUAGUUAUUAAGUUAGCUAUGGUGUUGGCAUAAAAUACAGUUGCAGUCCCAUUAUUGAGGGUUAUAUUGGCAUACAUAAAACACUCAGGGUCUGCUGUUUUGGUUGCAAUACAAACCAAAAGCAUCAGAAUAUUGUUCCGUUAGACUUUUGGAUUGUUCUUGCUGUAUACACAACCAUCCCCUAGGCUGAUUAGUAACUACUAUAUGUGGUGGACGACGCCAGAAAUCAGGGCUGUUCCUAUUAAAGGCUGGCAUAUAACUAUGACGCCAUGAUUUCACAGGCACACCUAAAGAUGUUACAUGAUCCUGGACAGUAAUACAUCCAGAUUGAUUAGGUUCCCUUCAACAGGGGUCAGACGCAUUUGGUCCACGAGAGUGCAAGUAGCUAUCAUUAACACCCCAAUUUUUGUAUAUAGAAAAUUUGAACCAACUGAGGUCUUUCCAGAUCCCUAACAUCUCAGACUGAUUGAAUGGAAUGACUCCCUAACAUCUCAGACUGAUUGAAUGGAAUGACUCUCUAACAUCUCAGACUGAUUGAAUGGAAUAACUCCUAAGGGAAUACCUCCGUUAGCGGUGAAAAGGCUGUGGGUACAAAUCCAACAACUACUCUGGUUAACCGUCCUGGCAAAUUGUAGGGAGAGGGCCAAACAUGUAUUAAUACCAUGAUGACCAUCCUCGUGAGUAUGGUGUCUAUGUUUGGGACUAGAGCACCACCACUCUGUACCACCAGGAAACACACAGAAACAAUUACCAUGAACAGAAUGAUCUACAAAUGGAAAAUAUGUAUGACAGCUAGCUGAUUGAGAAAGAUAUUGGUUAAAGCCCUGAACUACCCAAUUUACUAUUCAAGGGCUAAACGUUUUUAAAUCUUCAUUUGUGAUUGUUGAUUUCUUUCUUUGGCAAUGUUAAUCUAAUAAGAUCAGGUGUGUAAGCAGUUGAGUAUUUCAAAUACAUGGAAUAACUGGGGGUUCCAGAGGAGUUUUCAUAACCACUGCAAAAAUCCUCACACCAUGAAAUCUCUAGUCCAGAAUCCAAACCAGUAAAUCUACAGUAUAUCGCCUGUGGUAGUAACUACAUGAACAUCUUUUAAGAAUGAACAUUUUAUUUCUUGUUGAUUUUCUUUAAGUCCUAGACACAUGAUGGUGCAGAUGGAAAAACUCUAGAUACCUUGAGGGAACAGAGGACCAGACUACUUUCAGGGCAUGUCCUCCUGAGUCAGUUUACUGCUCCCAGUACCUCUACAGUUCCAGCCUAUCUCAUACAGUCUGAAAAACAACCAUG